UACGGGAGGCAGCAGUAGGGAAUUUUUCACAAUGGGCGCAAGCCUUAUGAAGCAAUGCCGCGUGAACGAUGAAGGUCUUAUAGAUUGUAAAGUUCUUUUAUAUGGGAAGAAACGCUAAAAUAGGAAAUGAUUUUAGUUUGACUGUACCAUUUGAAUAAGUAUCGGCUAACUAUGUGCCAGCAGCCGCGGUAAUACAUAGGAUGCAAGCGUUAUCCGGAUUUACUGGGCGUAAAACGAGCGCAGGCGGGUUUGUAAGUUUGGUAUUAAAUCUAGAUGCUUAACGUCUAGCUGUAUCAAAAACUGUAAACCUAGAGUGUAGUAGGGAGUUGGGGAACUCCAUGUGGAGCGGUAAAAUGCGUAGAUAUAUGGAAGAACACCGGUGGCGAAGGCGCCAACUUGGACUAUCACUGACGCUUAGGCUCGAAAGUGUGGGGAGCAAAUAGGAUUAGAUACCCUAGUAGUCCACACCGUAAACGAUCAUCAUUAAAUGUCGGCCUGAAUGGGUCGGUGUUGUAGCUAACGCAUUAAAUGAUGUGCCUGGG
RNAcentral lists this ribosomal RNA (542 nucleotides) under uncultured bacterium. Its description in RNAcentral is "bacterial SSU rRNA". It matches the Rfam family "Bacterial small subunit ribosomal RNA", at positions 340 to 877 of the family's 1533-position model. The record is from RNAcentral.